GAUUUUUGAUACUCUUGAAUGAAGUGUUUAAUUUAAUUCAAAUGCUGAAUAAAUUAUAGAAUUUAGUCUAAAUGUUGGAAUUAUAUUGAAUAGAAUGUUAUCAAAUUAUAUAAAUAGUUUUUUUAGCAUUUUAUAUAUAAUUUCUUAUGACUUGAUGACCCAUCUAAACUAUCUUACUCAUAAUUGUUUGGGUUGGUUUGAGUUUGACAGAAAAAUUAUGGAUUUCUUGCUUAUUUGAACN
RNAcentral lists this long non-coding RNA (241 nucleotides) under Trifolium pratense (red clover). RNAcentral describes it as "long non-coding RNA (TPRA_LNC013176)". Lineage: Eukaryota; Viridiplantae; Streptophyta; Magnoliopsida; Fabales; Fabaceae. The record is from RNAcentral.